This is a non-coding RNA of Osmia lignaria (orchard mason bee), 884 nucleotides long. Lineage: Eukaryota; Metazoa; Arthropoda; Insecta; Hymenoptera; Megachilidae. The record is from RefSeq and is a predicted model, not a curated record.
GUUGAAGUGUGUAUUUCGCCUUGUGUGCAAUAUUACCUAUUUGCAGUUUGUUGGAUUUUCAUUAUUCAAAAAGAGCUUUUCUUACAGUCUGCUGUUUUACGGUUUUACUAUUACUCUGUGUUGUACAUUUUGCACGUGGACGCAGUAAUAUACAAGAGGCACUAUUCGCGCUCCGCUACAUAUAUAGAUAUAGAUAUGAAGGACUGAAGUUCCCACUUACGCGGGAAGAAGAUUUAUUGGUCUUAGAAACCUCCCUAGCAAAGGAGGACCAUUUUAAAGAUGCAGUUCAGGAAUUAGCAAAAACAGGGGGGACAACAACUACCAAUUUGUGAAAAGGGUGUUGUCCUCAAUUAUAGACAACAACUUAGCGCUGAAAUACAGCUGGUUGGGAAGAAAGGGCAAGAAAGUAUUCUGCACCCUGCAUUUAGCUAGGUUGGUGAUAUGUAAGUAUCGCCCUGUUUUUAAUGUUUCUAAUGAUGAUUUCUGUAUAAUUGAACAUGUACAAAUUCUUGUUUUAACUGCUGCUGAAACGGCAAACCUUGGUGAUACCAAAAGAGCAACAGAGGUAUCAAUACAAAAUUGGCUGAGGAGAGCGUUUGACAGAAAUCAUGUAACCCCAAAACAAUUUUGAACGAACAUUGUAUUUUAUCAACGGACUACAUUUAAAUAAAAUAUUAUUAUACUGAAUACGAUUAUACUUUAAUUAAACCAUAUUUAUGACAUCUGUAGGGUAUAUAUAAGAUAUCUUUAGGGCAUUAAUAAGACAUCUUUAAAACGUCUGUAAGGCAUCUGUCGGAUAUCGGUACGACAUCUUUAAGACAUCCCGUUUUCUAACAUAGGAUGUUAACAGGACGUAUUUCAGGCAUUCGCAGGACCUUUCAGAU